This 75-nucleotide transfer RNA is filed under the name Nocardioidaceae bacterium. RNAcentral describes it as "tRNA-Val". It matches the Rfam family "tRNA". Rfam says of the family: Transfer RNA (tRNA) molecules are approximately 80 nucleotides in length. Their secondary structure includes four short double-helical elements and three loops (D, anti-codon, and T loops). RNAcentral also lists the same sequence under 1 other name. The record is from RNAcentral. Lineage: Bacteria; Bacillati; Actinomycetota; Actinomycetes; Propionibacteriales; Nocardioidaceae.
GGGCGAUUGGCUCAGCGGUAGAGCGCUCCGUUCACACCGGAGAGGUCACUGGUUCGAUCCCAGUAUCGCCCACCA